CCAGGGUUAGCACUAAUCCAGCUUUGAACAACCGGCCCCAGAUGUUUAGAGAAUUGGUAUUCCUUUAUAAAUUUCAAAAAAAUAUUUAGCUCGAGAGUCGAGUUUUUCCGCAAAGUGUUGCUUUAAUCAUAAAACAAUAUUGUUGUUGCAGAUUUUCCGUUAUUUUUAGCUUAAUGCAUAUUCCUGUCGGAAAUAACGAUACUUCAAAAUAUUAGUUCACCUUAUAAUAAUUAAUUAAUAAGUUCCUUGUAUAUUGGCAAGGUGAAAUAACUAUCAUUGUUAGCAAGCCACGCCUAUGUCUGUUGGGGAAAAAAACACAGGUUUCUAGACUAUACUCUAAAUUCCGGUCAAUUGUUCCAUAAACACAGUCAACUUCAAUCGACAAUAAGUCUUUAACGCGGACGCUUGUGAGGAAGUGUUGUUUUUGAGCUGUGCAUUGGCUGCCUUCACUCUUAUCUUGGCUUAUAAAAGCUACACAUAUAUCUACGCUAUUAAAGUUAAAGUUUGG
Molecule: non-coding RNA, 508 nt
Organism: Paramuricea clavata
Lineage: Eukaryota; Metazoa; Cnidaria; Anthozoa; Malacalcyonacea; Plexauridae
Source: the annotation of a GenBank genome assembly